This is a long non-coding RNA of Etheostoma spectabile (orangethroat darter), 168 nucleotides long. RefSeq lists it as uncharacterized. NCBI's taxonomy places the organism in Eukaryota, Metazoa, Chordata, Actinopteri, Perciformes, Percidae. The transcript has 4 exons. The record is from RefSeq and is a predicted model, not a curated record.
GCUACAUUGAACGUGCAACGUUUGCGUAACGUACGCGGAGCAUAUGUGCUGCAGAAUGUAUCUUUUAACUGGCUACACCUGCUGCACACACACGGCAUAGGUUUGUGCGAGUCACAGGCAAGACGGAGAGCUUUUGCUUUGGGAUUGUUGUUGUUCCUUCAGUUUUUG